AGUGAACGCUGGCGGCGUGCCUAAUACAUGCAAGUCGAACGGAGUGGCGCACGGGUGAGUAAUAUAUAGCUAAUCUGCCUCUUGCUGGAGGACAACAGUUAGAAAUGACUGGUAAUACUCCAUAGCAAGGGAUGAGACUAUAUCGUAUCAGCUAGUCGGUGGGGUAACGGCCGACCGAGGCUAUGACGCGUAACUGGUCUGAGAGGAUGAUCAGUCACAUUGGAACGGAGACACGGUCCAGACUCCUACGGGAGGCAGCAGUAGGGAAUAUUGCGCAAUGGGGGAGACCCUGACGCAGCAACGCGGCGUGGAGGAUGACAUUUUUCGGAGCGUAAACUCCUUUUUUUAGGGAAGCGGUACCUAACGAAGAAGCACCGGCUAACUCCGUGCCAGCAGCCGCGGUAAUUC
RNAcentral lists this ribosomal RNA (408 nucleotides) under uncultured bacterium. Its description in RNAcentral is "partial 16S ribosomal RNA". It matches the Rfam family "Bacterial small subunit ribosomal RNA", at positions 29 to 526 of the family's 1533-position model. The record is from RNAcentral.